This is a long non-coding RNA of Anguilla rostrata (American eel), 1341 nucleotides long. RefSeq lists it as uncharacterized. The transcript is spliced from 4 exons. NCBI's taxonomy places the organism in Eukaryota, Metazoa, Chordata, Actinopteri, Anguilliformes, Anguillidae. The record is from RefSeq and is a predicted model, not a curated record.
UGGACAGCUGCACGCGACCGCUCGCGCUUUUCUGAAAACGCACUGGUCGAAUGUCUGGUAGAGAAUUCAGACCAGACAGUCACCUGCGCUGUCCGGUAAUACGCAAAUAUGUUCCGCAGCGCUUAAUAUCAGAGAAUAAUAUGCGCUGUUAAUAUAUGAACACUCCAUUGUUAAGAAAUGGAGCCAAAGAACCUGGACCUGGAUCUCCUUUUAGUUCGCCAGAAGAUAACAUCGCCACUUUGCACUUGACUUAGCUAGAAAAAUGAGCAUCGCAUGCUGGUGUAGUUGGAGUUUUAAGCGUCUUGGCUAGCAAGUUAGCAACAGCUGAGUGCUUUUCAUUCACGGGACCAGCCAGCCCAUCUUGACCUGGGAAACCACGGUUACCGGGAGCGCCCUAGAAACAAGGUGUCAGGGCCUGCUCGGAUUGGAUGAGCCAGGUGGAAGUGGGAGGGGCAGACGAGCUGGGGGCAGGACUUACAAGCUCUCCUUUGGGUCCAGCUUCACCUUUGAACCCUGGGAUACCGGGGUCACCCUACAGACAGAGAGAGAGAGAGAGAUUUCCAUAAGAGACUGAACCAUGUGUCUCCAUCUGGGACAUGGAAGCACAUAAGCACUGGGGUGUCCUGUAGUUUGGGGUACACCCUUAAAGAUACGCUUACCUGCUGUCCUUUGGGCCCCAGAGGGCCUGUGGCUCCCUGAGGUCCGGGGGGGCCCCGGGGACCGGGGAAACCAGGAGCACCUGCAAUACCAGGACCGCCCUGCAGAGGGAGGCAGAGAGGACCAGAGUAUCACUCACUCUGCCACCUACCACCGAUUAAUCAAUUAAAGCCAACAAUAUUAAUAUAAAACAACUAAACCAUCAACUAAAAGCCAAGAAUAAACUCACCGCAGAUCCUUUGGAUCCAGGAAUGCCAUCAGUACCAGGGUUACCCUGUAGAGACCAAACACAGCCGGGGAUCAGAGACUGAAACUGAGACUGAAACAGCCCUACCUUCACACCUUAUAACACAGCACUGCAGGUGAGCCCUGCAGGUGAGGGAGCUCUGCCUUAAGGAGAGUUCUCAUGCUUUGUGAUGAGCGUGUUUAAAAACGCACAUCUGCAUGUGUCAGUUGUAAAUAAUGUGUUAGUUCCCAUGUGUGUGUGUAUGUGGUUGCAGGUAAACAGAGUUUGAGUUCAGUGUUCAUGUCGUUUACACUGUGUAGGUUUCCCAGCUGGAGUGUACUAUAAACACUUGGGGCUUUGGGAUGAACAUGCAGUGGGAUGCAUAUGAUUUGGAGGACUGACACAAAUGGAGUUAUGGUGGGAAAUUUAUCAGAACAUAAAAGCUUUUUGAUGACAAA